RNAcentral lists this long non-coding RNA (2954 nucleotides) under Corvus moneduloides (New Caledonian crow). RNAcentral's name for it is "lncRNA (ENSCMUG00000019286.1)". Lineage: Eukaryota; Metazoa; Chordata; Aves; Passeriformes; Corvidae. The record is from RNAcentral.
AUGACCCGAGGGAAUGGCCUGGAAUUGUAUCCGGGGAGGUUUAGGUUGGGUAUUAGAAAAAGGUUCUUCCCCCAGAGGGUGGCUGGGCACUGGAACAGGCUCCCCAGGGAAGUGGUCACAUCACCAAGCCUGACAGAGUUCAAGAAGCACCUGGACAACGCUCUCAGGCACGUGGGCUCUUGGGGCUGUCCUGUGCAGGGCCACGAGUUGCACCCGAUGGUCCCUGCGGGUCCCCUCCGACUCAGGAGAGGGUGUCACACCCCCGGCUCCCCCGCGCCGCUCCCAGCGCCUCCCGCCAGCGCCCCCUGCCGCGCCCCGCCGGCACCGCAGCAAUGGCGGCCCCCACGGCGCCCGCGUGACUCCGACGCCGCUGCCCGGUGUGAGGUGGCCCAAAACAAGUGUAAGAGACCAGGAAGAAACUUGCCUGGAAUCACCAAGAGCAUAAAAAGACAGGAGGAUGGAAAUGAGGACUUCAGAGCUACAGUGAAACCUGGACAGAGACGCCUGAUUUGCUAAAUUGAGAACAUGCUGCUUCAGUCAGUAUGGAUGUUAGGAAGCUAAUUAAAGGACAUAGCAGCUGACAAGUGAAUCUUUAGUCCCUGUCAAAUCCCUUAAGUUUAUCACCAGUGUGAAGUAGUUCAUAUAAAAAAGAAACUUUUACUCCUGAAUUUACGUUUCCAGAUGAGAUGUGUUUACUUUCAUGGUAAUGAUCAGAACACAUUUUACUUAUUUCAGGAUGAAUAUUGGCUGCCUUGGAAAUUACUCCCCAAAUCCCAGCUCUCUUCCCCUACUUCUUGAAAACCAUGGGAGUCAUAUUCGUUGUCCACACUGGUAUUUUAAGUAAGUGGCAUGAAGGGUGUGUCAGGCUGCAUAGUAUGCUGCUGAACAGCAGACCAAAUCCUGGUGCUUAGAGGCUGCAGUUGUGCUAAAAGGUCAGAAACACCAAGGACAUGUAGUGCACCAAAACUUGCCCAUCCUGAGAUAGUCAGGAAUAGUCACAUGUGUUGAUUUACAGAAAAACUUGGUUUGGUUCCUCUUUUUUUUUUUUUCUUUGCAAACCACAUGCUCUUGCUGAAUGUAAAUAUCUCAUGCUGCAAUGAUUAAGUCCAUUUUAGGUUCGUUUCCAUUAAUCUGUGAAAAGACUGUGCGAAAACCCAGAAUCAGCUCCGAAGGAUAAAUUGUGGGGGUUUUUUUAAUUUCUGAAAAAAAGAACUCUGCAGUAGGUUGUCAGUUAGUACAUCAAAGGAUGCAUUUAGUGUACCUCGGUAUGCUGUAACGUGAGCUAUUUGUUCAGUAGUUAGCUCUAGUUAACUAACAUGACUAUUCAUUCUAAAAUAAGCACUCAGGCAGUGUUUGCUCCCAGGCAAAUACUUGUUCUGCUACAGUUCUUUCUCAGCUCAGCUGCCUCUGAUCCCUUUUGUAAGUGCCGAAGUUGUUAGCCUUUGUAGUCAUGAGAGUUAAUUACCACUCAUUUUGUUCACUUUUCUGCAUGGCCAAAAGCUUUUAUGUCUUUUACAUGAUUCGGGAGUGGAAAGACUCGCCUGCAUUAAGGGACUGUUUCUUAUGCAAUAUGUGAUUAAUAGUUGCCAAGAAGUGGUCUGCCACAUGUGCGCUGGCAGGUUGGCGGCUGUGCAGCUGCGCUACUAAUUACAUGGCUGGGCUGGUUAAGCACGGUGCAUCUGAUGGUGGAGAUAGGCUCCAGGGCCCCGCAGGAGAUCGAGGGGAUGUGGUGGCUAGAUGUGGAAUCUGGGGACAAAUGGGAUGGAUCUGCUGGGGAUGAAGUCUGGACAUGUGGAGAGAACACCUAGGAGCCAUAAUACGAGGCAGUGAGUAAGGAGCAGAGGAAGAAGUUAAUAGCAGGCUAAAGCAAUUCGUGUAGCAAUCAGCUGUGCACAGUAUGACCCUUUGGUAUUGGGCUGGACUCCCUUAGUUUUGGGAGUGUUUGUGUAGUAGGAGAGGAGCAUAUAUUAUUGUUUAGUUUUCAUAUCAGUCCAAGAAAACUAGGUUUAUCUCCCGGCCCAAAAGCAUUGUCCCCACAGAAGUGAAUAUUCAAACACAGUGUUCUUUAGAGGUUGUGUCCUGCAGUAGCAGGAAGCUCAGCAGAGCCCACAUACUUUUAGUAUCUCUAAGUGCUGGUGUUUUUCCCUUGAAUUAUGUUUUUCCUUUUCAGCUAAAUAAACCAUAGCAAAAACCAUUUCAUUGUGUGCUAAGAUAUUCUCAAGUGCUCUUGUUUCCAAGGGUGACUUUACUGGGGGCAGCGAUGCAGUCUCAGAACAGAGCUCUUACGUGUCCCAGUUACGGAAUUACUUCCCGUGCUGCUGACAGCUUGAUUUGUGAAAGAAAAAAGAAUAGCAAAACAAAACCCACAGCCUGUGCAACAGAGACAAACACAGACUUGCUGUGCUUUAGAGAAAGUGUCAAACACAAACAUUUCAAAGGAGGAAAGCUUCUAGUCUUCAUGUACAUGAUAAAAAUAUUUUUAAAAGGAUAAGUCACAUAACUGUAACUAUUUUUAAGGUUUAAAAGUUUCCUGUUUAAUACCUGUGGGAUAAGUCUGUGCAGCUAGCUGGAGGCCAAUUUUAACCUUGACCAUUGAAAUCUGUUGACCUGUGGUUUGGUACAGAGCUGGCCAUUGUUGUUUUUUUCCUGCUUUGAAAUAAGGGAUAUCUGGGAAACCUCUAGCACCGCCCACCCCUCCCCUCUCCCAAACCCCAAAAAAUCCACAUGUUUAACUGUGUGCUAGACCUGCUUAGCUUAGCUGCUAAGUGUUGCAAAGUAGCCAGAUAUUGAAAAUGCUGCUAAUCGAGCAGAUGUCAGACUUAGAAACUCAUCGUUAUGCCUUUAUACUGAAUCUGGUAGAUACUAAGAGGACUUUAAGUGCAUGUGUAAUUACAGAGCUGUUUUGUUCUGGUUUGAGACUAAGCAGUAGUUAUAGAAAAAGAAGACUGAACUGA